Molecule: ribosomal RNA, 497 nt
Filed under: uncultured bacterium
Lineage: Bacteria
Description: partial 16S ribosomal RNA
Rfam family: Bacterial small subunit ribosomal RNA
Source: RNAcentral
UCUUCCCUCUGGCGGCGUGCCUAAUACAUGCAAGUCGAGCGAACAGACGAGGAGCUUGCUCCUCUGACGUUAGCGGCGGACGGGUGAGUAACACGUGGAUAACCUACCUAUAAGACUGGGAUAACUUCGGGAAACCGGAGCUAAUACCGGAUAAUAUAUUGAACCGCAUGGUUCAAUAGUGAAAGACGGUUUUGCUGUCACUUAUAGAUGGAUCCGCGCCGCAUUAGCUAGUUGGUAAGGUAACGGCUUACCAAGGCAACGAUGCGUAGCCGACCUGAGAGGGUGAUCGGCCACACUGGAACUGAGACACGGUCCAGACUCCUACGGGAGGCAGCAGUAGGGAAUCUUCCGCAAUGGGCGAAAGCCUGACGGAGCAACGCCGCGUGAGUGAUGAAGGUCUUCGGAUCGUAAAACUCUGUUAUUAGGGAAGAACAAAUGUGUAAGUAACUACGCACGUCUUGACGGUACCUAAUCAGAAAGCCACGGCUAACUACGUG